RNAcentral lists this ribosomal RNA (425 nucleotides) under uncultured bacterium. Its description in RNAcentral is "bacterial SSU rRNA". It matches the Rfam family "Bacterial small subunit ribosomal RNA", at positions 355 to 772 of the family's 1533-position model. The record is from RNAcentral.
UGGGGAAUAUUGGACAAUGGGCGCAAGCCUGAUCCAGCAACGCCGCGUGAGUGACGAAGGCCUUCGGGUCGUAAAGCUCUGUGGGAGGGGACGAAUAAGCUUCGCGCUAAUCAGCGGGGCCUUGACAGUACCUUCUUAGCAAGCACCGGCUAACCUCGUGCCAGCAGCCGCGGUAAUACGAGGGGUGCAAGCGUUGUUCGGAAUUACUGGGCGUAAAGCGUGAGGAGGCGGUUCGCUAAGUCUGAUGUGAAAGCCCUGGGCUUAACCCAGGAACUGCAUCGGAAACUGGUGGACUAGAGUUCGGGAGAGGGUCGUGGAAUUCUUGGUGUAGAGGUGAAAUUCGUAGAUAUCAAGAGGAACACCGGUGGCGAAGGCGGCGACCUGGACCGACACUGACGCUAAUACACGAAAGCACGGGGAGCAAA